This 253-nucleotide ribosomal RNA is filed under the name uncultured bacterium. Its description in RNAcentral is "partial 16S ribosomal RNA". It matches the Rfam family "Bacterial small subunit ribosomal RNA", at positions 524 to 776 of the family's 1533-position model. The record is from RNAcentral.
UACGAAGGGGGCUAGCGUUGCUCGGAAUCACUGGGCGUAAAGCGCACGUAGGCGGAUCUUUAAGUCAGGGGUGAAAUCCUGGGGCUCAACUCCAGAACUGCCUUUGAUACUGGGGAUCUCGAGUCCGGGAGAGGUGAGUGGAACUGCGAGUGUAGAGGUGAAAUUCGUAGAUAUUCGCAAGAACACCAGUGGCGAAGGCGGCUCACUGGCCCGGUACUGACGCUGAGGUGCGAAAGCGUGGGGAGCAAACAGG